This 21735-nucleotide long non-coding RNA is filed under the name Glycine max (soybean). Its description in RNAcentral is "long non-coding RNA (GMAX_LNC003309)". Lineage: Eukaryota; Viridiplantae; Streptophyta; Magnoliopsida; Fabales; Fabaceae. The record is from RNAcentral.
ACAUUAGCACAAGCAAAAAGAAACACGUGACUAUUCUUAAAGAUGUUAGCGGGAUUAUUAAACCUCGCAGGAUGACACUGCUUUUGGGUCCUCCAAGUUCAGGAAAAACCACACUCCUUUUGGCCUUAUCAGGAAAGCUCGACAAAACUCUUAAGGUAUCUGGGAGAGUGACUUACAACGGGCAUGAAUUGAAUGAGUUUGUGCCCCAGAGAACUGCUGCUUACAUCAGCCAGCAUGAUCUUCAUAUCGGAGAAAUGACUGUGAGGGAAACCUUGGCUUUUUCAGCAAGGUGCCAAGGGGUUGGAUCGCGUUAUGGUUAGUCCAUCUUUACCACCUUGCAAACCUUUUCAAUAUCUAAUUUAAGGUGUAUAUAUAUAGCCUAAGCAUGGCUGAUCAUCAUUUUUGGGAUCCACAGACAUGCUAUCUGAGUUGUCUAGAAGAGAGAAAGCAGCAAAUAUCAAGCCUGACCCAGAUCUUGAUGUCUACAUGAAGGUGAGAAAAAGAGGCUCCUAUUAAUCUUUACUUUAGUAAAAUAAGAAAACCCAAAAACAUAUUAUAUAUUUUCUUUGCAUCUGAUUAUCUUUUGAUAUAACAGGCAACUGCAACUGAAGGUCAGGAGUCAAGCUUAGUAACAGAUUAUACACUAAAGGUAAUGUUUAAAAAAGGUUCAGUUCAAUUGUGUGAUGACAUGCGUUACAGUUUUUUAUGAAGGCCGAGAUAUUGAACUAGUUAACCGUAUAAUUUUGUAGAUUUUGGGGUUGGAUAUUUGUGCUGAUACUAUGGUGGGGGAUGAAAUGUUGCGUGGGAUCUCUGGAGGACAAAGGAAGCGUGUUACUACAGGAGAGAUGUUGGUUGGACCAGCAAAUGCCUUGUUCAUGGAUGAAAUUUCUACUGGGUUGGACAGUUCCACAACAUUUCAGAUUGUGAGCUUUCUCAGGCAAUAUGUCCACAUUCUAAAUGGAACCGCUGUUAUAUCUUUGCUCCAGCCAGCACCCGAGACUUAUGACCUUUUUGACGACAUUAUCUUAAUCUCUGAUGGCCAAGUUGUAUACCAUGGUCCCCGUGAAUAUGUUCUGGACUUCUUUGAAUCCAUGGGUUUCAGAUGUCCUGAGAGGAAAGGUGUUGCUGACUUCCUUCAAGAAGUGACUUCCAAAAAAGAUCAAGCACAAUAUUGGGCACGCAGAGAUCAACCAUACAGAUUUGUCACAGUUACCCAAUUUUCUGAGGCAUUUCAAUCAUUCCAUAUUGGUGGGAAACUUGGAGAGGAGCUUGCAGUUCCAUUUGACAAGACCAAGAGCCACCCUGCAGCAUUAACCACUAAGAAGUAUGGUAUCAAUAAGAAGGAGCUGUUAAAGGCUAACCUCUCAAGGGAGUAUUUGCUUAUGAAAAGGAACUCAUUUGUUUACAUCUUCAAGCUAUGCCAGGUUGGUUCUAGACUUUCUACCUUGGUUUAUAUCAAUAAAAAAUAUAUACUAUUGUUAUUUAUAUCAUUUACACUUAUAUGAUGAUUAUUUUACACUAUUCAUUUUUCUCUUGAUGCUUUUCAGCUUUCCAUCAUGGCGUUAAUGACAAUGACACUGUUUUUGAGAACCGAGUUGCAUCGUAACAAUAUGGAUGAUGCGGGUCUUUAUGCUGGUGCUCUAUUUUUUACCUUAGUAAUGAUUAUGUUUAAUGGAAUGGCUGAGAUUUCUAUGACCAUUGCUAAGCUUCCUGUAUUCUACAAGCAACGGGACCUUCUAUUUUAUCCCUCUUGGGCAUAUGCAAUCCCUUCAUGGAUUCUCAAGAUUCCUGUUACUCUACUGGAAGUUGCUGUUUGGGUAUUCCUCACCUACUAUGUUAUUGGAUUUGAUCCAAAUGUUGGGAGGUAAAGAAACUGCUUUCAAGAGUUAAGAGCAUGGUGAAUGUUGCUGCUUCUACUAAUUUGCAUGUUACUUAUGAUUUGAGUUGUUGAAUUAUGUGCAGGUUGUUCAAGCAGUAUCUCAUUCUACUGUUUAUCGGCCAGAUGGCUUCGGCACUAUUUCGUGCUAUUGCAGCACUGGGUAGAAACAUGAUUGUUUCCAACACAUUUGGAGCCUUUGCAGUUCUCACGUUCCUUACAUUGGGUGGUUUCGUUAUGGCAAAAAGUAAGUUCAAUUAACAUAAACACAUGACAAAAAAAUUGUUGUAUUUCCAUCAUAUUGAACAAACCUAAGCUAAUUCUUCUGCAUUUCAUUGCCAAUGAAACAGGUGAUAUAAAAAACUGGUGGAUUUGGGGUUACUGGAUUUCACCUUUAAUGUAUGGGCAGACUGCUUUGAUGGUCAAUGAAUUUCUUUCAAACAGUUGGCACAACGUAAUUUCUUGAACACAACUUCAGAAUUUGUAUACUUUUGGUUAACAGAAGUGCGAUUCUAAUUUUUUUUGCUCUCCAAUUACAGUCUAGCCGAAAUUUAGGAGUUGAAUAUCUGGAGUCUCGUGGGUUCCCCUCAAGUGCAUAUUGGUAUUGGUUAGGCUUAGGGGCAAUGGCUGGAUUUGUGUUGCUUUUCAACGUGAUGUUUUCUGCUGCACUUGAAAUCCUUGGCCGUGAGUACUUUUCGCAUCAUUUGUACUUUAAAUUUUUUUCAGAAAAGCAAUGCAAGGUUUUAUUAAUAAGUAUGCAUCUGAAUGUGCAUGCAGCAUUUGAUAAGCCACAAGCAACAAUAGCUGAAGAAGAAUCACCUAAUGAAGUAACCGUAGCAGAAGUUGAAUUGCCACGCAUAGGUGAGCUAUGUUACACUUAUAAAUCACUCAUGAAUACUCAAUGCCAAGCAUACUCGUUGAGUAGCAACAAUUCAUUAUAUACCUCAAGAUAUUGAACAUUUUUUCAAAUACCUUUCAGAAAGUUCAGGAAGAGGUGGUUCUGUUGUGGAGUCCAGCCAUGGAAAGAAAAAAGGAAUGGUUCUUCCUUUUGAGCCACAUUCUAUCACCUUUGACGAAGUCGUAUACUCUGUUGACAUGCCACAGGUAAAUCACAUUCAAAGAUAUAAAUUUAGCAUUUGGAUUUCUAACAGUUUCUAUUUGAAAUCUACUUCAGCCAGAGGCAAUUUGUGUUUUUAACUCUCUUAAUUUCAACUGGCAGGAAAUGAAGGAACAAGGUGUACAAGAGGACAGAUUGGUGCUUUUGAAGGGUGUUAGUGGUGCAUUCAGGCCUGGUGUUCUCACGGCUUUGAUGGGUGUAAGUGGAGCUGGUAAGACUACUUUGAUGGAUGUUCUGGCUGGCAGGAAAACUGGUGGAUAUAUUGAUGGAAACAUCAAAAUUUCUGGGUACCCUAAGAAGCAAGAAACAUUUGCUCGUAUCUCUGGCUACUGUGAGCAAAAUGAUAUCCACUCACCUCAUGUUACUGUUUAUGAAUCCUUGCUCUACUCAGCAUGGCUUCGUUUACCUUCAAGUGUUGAUUCCCAAACCAGAAAGGUUAGUUAGUGUGAACUACCAACAGUAAAACAUGUUUAAGCUGGUCAUUGAGAUAGCUCGAUUUCUCUCCUUAGAGGCUAAUUGUUCAAACUUUUUCGAUUUGACAAUGGUUGCAGAUGUUCAUUGAGGAAGUCAUGGAACUGGUGGAGCUGAACCCAUUAAGGAACUCACUGGUUGGAUUGCCUGGUGUGAGUGGUCUCUCAACUGAACAGCGCAAGAGGCUGACUAUUGCAGUUGAAUUAGUGGCUAACCCAUCUAUAAUUUUCAUGGAUGAGCCUACUUCUGGGUUAGAUGCAAGAGCUGCUGCAAUUGUUAUGAGAACAGUCAGGAACACUGUGGACACUGGAAGAACCGUUGUCUGCACCAUCCAUCAGCCUAGCAUUGACAUAUUUGAAGCAUUUGAUGAGGUGAGUGACGACAAUGAUAAAUGAAGCUGUGUCAUGUUUAGUUUCUUUCUCCAUUAGACUUGAAUCUAACAUGAUAUUUUGUGUGAUUCCAGCUAUUCCUAAUGAAGCGUGGAGGACAAGAAAUAUAUGUUGGGCCGCUGGGUCGUCACUCUAGUCAUUUGAUCAAGUAUUUUGAGGUGAGAUCAUACUUAAGUUCAAUAUUAUUAAGUGAACGACUAUAGUUCUUGAGGACAAAUACUAAGAUUUUCCAAUAAUUUCCACUGUCCAGAGCAUUGAAGGGGUGAGCAAAAUCAAAGACGGAUAUAACCCAGCUACUUGGAUGUUGGAAGUUACAACUUCAGCACAAGAACUUAGUUUGGGUGUUGAUUUUACUGACUUGUACAAGAAUUCUGAUCUAUAUAGGUAGGCUAGUGCAUGCAGUUAUGAAUUUAUUAACUAAUAUAGCUAUUGCCAUCUUUGUUUUCUCUAUUUUCAAAAUGCUUAAAUGAGUUUUGCAUGGUUUUUCAGGAGAAACAAGCAGCUUAUACAAGAACUGGGUCAGCCCGCUCCCGGUUCAAAGGAUCUUUAUUUCCCUACUCAAUACUCUCAGUCAUUCUUGGUCCAAUGCCAAGCUUGCUUAUGGAAGCAACGUUGGUCAUAUUGGCGUAAUCCACCAUACACUGCUGUGAGGUUUUUCUUCACUACUUUCAUAGCCCUGAUGUUUGGAACAAUGUUCUGGGACCUCGGAAGCAGACGGUAAGUCAAAGAUUAGUGAAGUUUUAAAAUAAAUUCUUAUUACCCAACAAAAUAAAAUACCAUAUAAUAUAUUUUGUCACAUCUUCUAAUUCCACUUGCUUUUGGUGAUUUUACAGUACAACAAGAGGAGACCUGUUGAAUGCUCUAGGUUCAAUGUAUACUGCUGUUCUCUUCCUUGGAAUACAAAAUGCUUCCUCUGUUCAGCCAGUGGUAGCAGUUGAAAGGACUGUCUUUUAUAGAGAAAAAGCUGCGGGAAUGUAUUCUGCCUUACCCUAUGCAUUUGCACAGGUAACUUCAUCAUUAUUUAUUUUAGACAUUAUUAGUGGUUUAGUUUGCAUACACGGUUCAUGUUAACAAAUUCCCUACUUUUUGUCACAGGUUCUGGUAGAGAUACCAUAUAUCUUCGCUCAAGCUGUGACAUACGGUUUAAUUGUUUAUGCCAUGAUCGGAUUUGACUGGACUGCAGAGAAAUUCUUUUGGUAUCUAUUUUUCAGUUUCUUCUCAUUGUUGUACUUUACUUUCUACGGUAUGAUGGCUGUGGGAGUGACGCCAAACCACCAUGUUGCUGCCAUUGUGGCUGCUGCAUUCUAUGCAAUUUGGAAUCUCUUCUCGGGAUUUAUUGUCGUUAGACCUGUAAGUUGUUGCACUACCCUACCAUUUGAAUAAUAAAUAGUUAAAUAAAUGGUUUCAAUGGAUGAAUGUAUGUACAUUUAUGUUUAUUGUCCUUUUCCAUUUUCAACAGAAAAUGCCCGUGUGGUGGAGAUGGUACUAUUGGGCAUGUCCAGUGGCUUGGACCUUAUAUGGAUUGAUUGCAUCUCAGUUUGGAGAUAUAACGGAAAGAAUGCCGGGUGAAGAUAACAAGAUGGUGAAAGAUUUCGUAGAAGACUACUUUGGUUUCAAACAUGACUUCGUUGGAGUGUGUGCUGUUGUGGUUGCUGGCAUCGCAGUUGCCUUUGCAUUAAUCUUCGGUGUUGCAAUCAAGACCUUUAACUUCCAAAAGAGAUAGAUGGAUAGACUGAACUCUUUCUCCAACGUCAAAGAUUCUUUAUAUUUUCUCUCUCUCUCUCUUUGCUUGUUUUUGUUUUCUCUAUAAACUUAUAAUAUUUGUAUCUAUCAUUUAAUCAUUUGUUCAAAACCAGCCAGUUUGAAGGUUGUCCUUUAUAAAUGUAUGAUGAAUGUCAAAAGAAAGAUUUUUGAUACUUACCACAUAAGCAUAAUGAUGUACAUCCGUAAAUUAAUAAAAAAAACAUACGAGUUGAUAAGAUUUAUUAAUCACUAUGGCUUUGUGAUAUUAAUAUUGAUCACUAUAGGUACGAUUGUUUUGCUAAAAUUUUAGAGGACUCAGCACUAAAACAUUUGUCCUACAUUUGUUUUAAAUAAUAGUGGGUGGACAACAAAAAACAAGGGGAAUAGAACUGGACAAAAGUAUAAAAAUUUGUAACUUGAAACCCCAGGCCUUUCUUCACUACCAACGCAAGGGCAUAUAAUAAAUAAGGUAAAAUCAUCUUUUUAAUCUCAUUUUUUUUAUAAUUUGAUCCUUCAUCUUUUAAAAAAUUCAUUUUGAUACUUUGUAAUUUUAAAAAUUCAUUUUAGUCCUUUUAUUUUAACAAUUUUAAGAUAUUAGAGAUUAAAAACUAUCCCGAAACACAAUUUUAUCUUAAACAUCUCCGCAUUGUAAUUAACACAUUAUUGACUGUUAUAAACCGCCAAAAUGAAACACUCAAAUGUCACAAAAUGCAAACACUCAAAUUGCUAAAUGGAUGUUAGAAAAAAGCACAAGAGAAAUGCAACAGUGGAAAUAUAAAAAUCACACCUGGUAACAAAAGGUUGGGAUAGAGUACACUAAAACCUUCAGUCCAAUUGUUAAUCUAACAACUGUUAGAACCCUCUUAUCAAUUGCAGUUGUGAUGGGGGCAGUAUUGCUAUGAAUCAUCUCCGGCAAUUGCUUUGUGUACCAACGUUUUUUUGUAAACUCAACAUUUUUUGUUAUUUCCAAAAUUAUUCUUAGAAGAUUUAUGGAUUCGUAAUUCGUAUGGACCUAUGGAUUCACAAUCUGUAUGGGCCCAUACAAUUUUUUAUUUUUUUCAAAAAAAUAUGUUUUAGAAAUUAAUUUAAAAUUAAUAAUUCAUUCAAGAUUCAAACAUGUGAUUUUUAGGUUAUUAACAUGAUAUCCUAAUCAACUGAGUUAAUAAGUCAAUUAUGUUAUAAAAUAAUUAAUGUCGUUAUAUAUAACACUAAAAUUUCUAAUGUAUAUUAUUCUUAAAAGAUUUAUGGAUUCAUAAUUCGUAUGGAUCCAUGGAUUCGCAAUUCGUAUGGACCCAUACAAUUUUUUUUAUUUUUUUUAAAAAUAUGUUUUAGGAAUUAAUUUAAAAUUAAUAACCCAUACAAGAUUCAAACAUGUGACUUUCAGGUUAUUAACACAAUAUUUUAAUCAACUGAGUUAAUAGGCCAAUUAUCAAUGAAUACAUUGGAUCCUUUUAUCAUUGUUAUCAAUGAAGAAUCAGAGUUGUUACAUUUAUCUCAAUGAUAGGAGUAGAGGUAGAGUAGAUUCCUUCACCUAUCAAACUAUAUGUCAAUUAACAUUUCUCCAUGGUGACUUGAACGAAGAAGUCUAUAUGGAGGUCCAGCCGAAUUUGAGUGUUUCUGAAACAGGCCUAGUAUGGAACUAUGCAAACUCUAAAAAUAACUUUACAAGCUACAACAGGCAAGCAAAUAGUGGAAUGCCAAACUGACCACUGACAAGGCUCUGAGGGCUUGUGGAUAUUCACCGUCCAAGGCAGAUUAUUCCUUGUUCACUAAAAUCUCUGCAUCUUGGUCUAUUUUUAUCUUGGUUUAUGCAAAUGAUUUGCUCUUGGCAAGAGACAACCUUGUUGAAAUCAGUGCAAUUAAAUCCUAUUUGGAUCAGCAGUUCAUCAUUAAAGAUAUAGGCCAACUCAUUCUUUUUAGGAUUCGAGGUGGUCAGAUCUAAGGAAGGAAUUGCCUUAUACCAAAGCAAGUAUGCCUUGGACAUACUUAAAGACUCUAGACUAUUGGCAGCAAAACCAUGUAAUACUCCCAUGGACAAUUUUUUUAGACUUCAGCAUGAUUCUUGUUCUGCAUUACCCAAUGUUGCUAUUUAUAGGAAACUGACAGGGAGAUUACUUUCUCUCACUCACACAAGGCCUGUCACAUGCUUCGCUGUGAGUCAGUUGUGUUUUAAAUAUGUCAAAAAGUCACCAACUGAAGGACUCUUCUUUUCUGCUAAUUCUAACACUAAGUUGAAGUGGUUUAGUAAUUCAGAUUUGGGAACUUGUUUGGACACUAGAAAGUACAUUACAUGUUACUGCCUUUUCUUUGUACCCUCUCUAGUAUCCUAGAAAAGCAAGAAGUUAAGCAACCCACAGUCUCCAAGUCAUCUUCAGAGGCCGAGUAUAUGGCCAUGGCACUAGCCAUUUGUGAGGCUCAAUUGUUACUCUACCUAUUUGAUACAAUUGACCGACAUUGUUCCUAUUGUGAUAAUCAAGCUAAUGGGGAAAACAGACCAACACAAUAAAAAACUCUAUAACAGAGUAAUAAACAGUCAAAAUAAAUUCCCCCAAAUUUAUGCAAAAUAGAAAUGAUGAAAAAUAGAGACACAAUUUGUUUAACAUAGAAAAUCCCUCAAUGCAAAAGUAAAAAUUACGGGUUAUCCAAACCAAAGAAAUAACUUCACUAUAAUCAAUGAAGAUACAAGAGAACCUCCAACAAGUGCACUUAAAUAUGCUACAAACAGUCAAAUCAAAACAAACUCCAACUGGUAUCUUUCUCUACAGAUAGCGGCAAGAAGAUAAAACCUCAAAAUAUAGAACAAAUAAUGCAAAACACUUAUCUUUCUCUACAGAUAUCUUUUUUUCCGAUCCAACCAGACAAUUUAAAGUAUCACGCGUGUAGAACCUGUAGUCCAAAAAUCAUCCCGAUCCAACAGUAAACGAAUCCACAGUUACAAUCUGAAAAACGCUUCUCUAAUCUCACCCUCUCCACCUAAAUAAGUGAGACACACGGAUCUUCUCAUUUGGAUCUUUACUCUACAUAGGAAGGGAGCCUAAAAAACUCAACACAAUCAGUCUUACACAUAGCUGCAAAUCUUGUAUUUAUGAAAGGACAAAACUUAUCAAAUUGGAGUGCCACAUUGCAAGAGAAAAGGUGCACAAUGGAACACUUCAUUUGCUGCCAAGUUCAUCGCAACUUCAGAUUGCUGACAUUUUAAUAAAGCCUAUAUUGCUACAGGACCAUUCGAGAGCCUUCAAUCCAAAUUUGAAAUGUUGGACAUACACAUUCUAGGAUGUUACAGCUUAUGACAACUUUUUUUUUUUAUGUUAGUUUUUCAAUAGUUAAAAUAUCAUUUUGGUCUAUUAUGUUUUCGUAUUUUUUUAUUUUUAUUUUUUAUGUUUUAAAAAUUUCACUUUAGUUGUUUAUGUUCGUAAAUAAACUCAAAAUGAUCAUUUUGUCCCCAUUAAAUGAUGACAUUUUAAUUAUUAUUUGUAUUAAGUUUUUUGGGGUUCAUUUUAUGGUGAUCCAAAACUGUCAAGAAAUUGCUUGUCUAAUUCAUUUAAUAGGUAUUAAACUGUCAUUUUGGAUUCAUUCUCGAACAUAAAAGUUUCAAGAUGAAACUUUUAAAACAUGAAGGACCAAAGAAAAAAAAAAAAUAUAAUAGAUUAAAAUGAUAUUUUUUAGCCUUUUCAAUAUUCAGUUAUAGUUAGUUACCAACUUUCCAAUUAGUUGAUUCUCACAUCACAUUGUAAAUAAGGAGUUAGCCGUGUAAAAGAAUUCAGAUUGAAUAAUACAAAGACCAGUGCACCCUGCAUUAUGGUCAUCUCCUUGGUCUCAUUUCUAAUUGAUUCUUUGUUCAGGUAGAUCUGAUAUUUGAUAAUAUUCUUUGAGAGAUUUGGAAAUUUGAGAAGCCUGAUAGAGCAAACUGUGUUUUCUCAACAAGAGACGAUGGGAUGGUCAAAGAAGAUAAGGUAAUCAGAAUUAUAUUGUGAGAAAAAAAAAAACAAAGAAAAAGAACAACGGCAAUUGCAGGUUGUGCGUAGUUGGUUUGGAAAGAAGUGUGUAGACAUAAUGACACUCCAUUUCAACUCUGUCAAAGAAUAACCAAAACAUUUAUUUUGUUUUCUUCAAUCCUUGUUAAGACCCAACCCAUUCUUUUCUCUUCAAUUCUUUCUGUUUCAUGUAAUUUAUUUUUGGUUCUCACAAAAAAAAAAUGUUGGAAUUUUUUCUUAUUUAUAUACCCUCACAUGUCUACCUUGCUAUGGUGCGAUUGUUAAGGUACAACUUUUUCGCAACUGAGGAUAGUUUGUUGGGGAAAUGAUUUUUGUUUCUGCUUUUGGAUGAUUGCAUAUAUUUUCUGGCAGUUUUGAACCAGGUUUUUCUUGUUCUGUGUGGAUCUCUGUUUUUGUUACACCUGUGGAGGACUUGAGAUGAUGCCCUUGUUAUUGCCUUAGAAUGAUAUGAUUAUGACUCUUAGACUUAGGCCUGUUCAAAAAACCAUGAACUAUGAACUUGAUUAUAAUUGAACUGCACUAAAUCAUUAAGUAAAACAUCAUGCGGGAUGAAAAAUAGAGAGAAACAUCCCAACUAUGUUGGCACCCUUCUCUCCAUUAGUUCCUUGCCACUACCAUCUAAAUUUAUUAAAGAGGAAACUAACAAAACACCAUGGGGGGACUAAAGCAAUACCUAUGUCAAGGAAAAGAGAAUAUGUACACAGGUAGCCCUCUAAUAUUGUGGCCUUAUGAUUGAGAACAAAAGGAAGGGACUGUGUCCCACCAAAAUAUCUAUUAUCCACAAUAAAAUUGGCAAUACGACUUGUAAAUGUGUGUAGCUCUAAAUCUGAUGAGAGAUGUUUUGUGCAAGCAAUUAGUCCACCUGUUGCUCAGCUUCCAGGGGACUGAAGAAGAAUUAUUUACAACAUUAAUAACCUGCAAAAAAUCACACUCGAGCCAAAGGGGAUGUCAUCAGUUCCUAUUGUAGACCGUUUCAAUAGCAAAAAUGGCUGCUAGCAGCUCAGCUUCAAAUGCAUUCCCUAUGCCAAUGUAGUUUGCCAAGCUACCCACAACAACGCCAUUUUCGUCUCAAAAGAUAGUUAAAAGCUUUCUGAACACAAAAAUCGUCCUCUGAGAGCCCCAUGCAAGCAGCAGCUAGAUUACCAGCCAUGGUAAUAUGAGAAGAUAUUAGCCAAGUGAUGUGACUUUGUUGCAGAAACGCAACUGGUUUCUGCAAUGCCAAAUAUAUAUCCCACAAAACGAAAACGGUAAUUAUGACACCUCCACCCCAACAUGCAUAUAAAAAGAAAAAAUGUUAGGAACAAGAAACGAGAGAAAGGUAUGAGCCUGGACUUGGAGGGCCAGUAGCCUCCAAAGCAAAGAAAAACACAAAUUGCUAAAUGGUAAUUUUCAUAUCCCCUGCCUUAUUACAUGAGUAGUCUAUAUAUAGUGGUAAUUCCCUAUAACAGAAUUUGUAAUCUUGUGAUAACAAAGAUCUUAACAGAAAAUGAAAUUAGGGGCAGACAAGAUUAAGCACUACUGCGCUACUGCCAACUCAGCUACAAUCUGUUAGACAUAGUUCUUCAAGUAACUUGGGGUAUUGACCUUCCUCAUAGGCCUCUCCCUUUGCUUAGGUUGUGUUUGAGAUCCGUUUCCUUUAUCAAAAAAUAUAUAAAACACGGAAUCUAAUUAAAUCAAUUUUAUUCAAUAAAAUCUUAAGUAAAUCCACAUAAAUAAAAUAUCCACAUUCGCUUCAUGGUUAUCAAUAAAAACUUUUCAGAAACAUUUCUGGCUCAAAAAAGGGUCGUUUAAGUUUACAAAAGAACUCAAAUUAAGUAGCAGAAUAAAAUAAAAUAAAAUGACAUGUUUGAAACAUCAUGCAAUUAAAAUAAAAACAUAUGUUUCAAUAUCACAUCCUAUUAGAGCAUUGUAUUACGAUGUCGUCCAGCAUGAGGUUCCUUAAAACAAUCCACCUAGCCAUCUGUUCUCACAAACACAAGGUUUGAGAUCAUCACAGGAUUCAAACACAAAUAACACAUGAAAAGUGAGCUAUCACAUCUCUAAACAGGUAGAGAUAAAUGAAGACACGUGUAUAUAGUAUAAGUAUAACAAAUACAACUUAGCACAAUUCACAUCAUUUUACCACUCAGUGUGUAACAUCACUUGCCUUAAAGAUUUAAUCACAAAAUCACAUUCCACACAUUCACAUUAAUCACGUGUUCAAAGCAACAAAUCUUAAGUACAUUACAAUAUUUCACACCCACACAAUUCAUUACCCACCAUCACGUAGCAAGUCACAAUGAUCAUUACACAGACGUUAUGUAACAUAUACACUAAGACUCAAUCCUAUAUGCAAUGUGGUACCAUGUUAGUGAAAAACAAUACCAGGGUACCUAGGAGUACAUAGCAAGACACGCCACACAAUGAGUAUAUCAGGUCACUCUCAAUUAGUGAAAUCAUAAGGUGACCAGUUAAGGUCACUCUGUUUUGUGAGAGUGCUCUAUCUGUAUGGAAUCAACAUAGGUCUAAAGGAGCACUCAAACCGAGUAUAUUUACCCCCAAGACCUAGACUCCGAAGAAUCUGUUAGGGUUUCACCUUCCUUAUUUAGAUUCAACCCCUAAAACAAUUUUUACAUGCAGAUACUACUAAUGAAUUAUACAUCCCCACGACUUCACACUUAUUUUCAAAAAUGUUUGACACAAUGCGCUACAAUUUAACAUCCCACGUUCUUAACUUGGAACCCUACACUUUCCUUUUAACAUUUCACGCAUUGCGCUACAAUUUAACACCUCAGAUUCCUAACUUGAAACCCUACCUUUUCCUUUUAACACCUCGCGCAUUGCACUACAAUUUAACACCUUAGGUUCCUAACUUGGAACCUUACACUUUCAUUUUAUCAUUUCGCGCAUAAACACUUUUCUCAAGGUAAACACAAGUCAGGUUAUUGUAUAAUUCAAAACUCACAACAUAGGUAAUAUCACAUAAAAUAUUAACCAUACACUUAUUCACAACCAAAUUUCAUGUCCACAAUUUUAACAUCUCACAACGUCAUAAUCCACAAUCAUAUGUUUAUGUGUAUCUCACAAAUUAACACAUGCUCAACUUGUCACUUAUAUUCAGUCUCAAUCAAUUUUAUAAUAUACAAAUAAUAUUACAUAUAUAAAUAUACCCAGUAUAUAAAUAACUAAACAAAUAAAUAUUCUAAUCAUGAAUUACAAAGUGAAAUAUAAUUAAACAAAACUACACCCAGGAUUCACUAAAACUUUUGAAGAACCUUAUAGUUAAAUAAACUUUGGCAAAUUUUAAAGAAUAAAAAUAUAAAACAAUAUAUAAACUCAUACUAAAUAUUAAAACUAAAACAAUAAUCGAGAAUGUCAUUUUUUUAACCUAUUCUAAUUUCAAAUUAUAAUAUUAAUUAUGAUAAUUAUUAGUUAUGAGUAUAUUUUGGGGUUAAAUUAUAUAAGAAUUUGUAAUUUUUCUCUCAUAAUUCUUCCUUUUUGAGCAAAUAAUUGUUAAAUUAACAUCAUUUAAGUUUUUGUGCAGAAAAUAUUAAAAGUAAUGAAUUUAUGAUGUUUAGUGAGUAAAAUAAAGCAAAAAAAAAACAGACUAAUUAAGGAAAACAAACUAAUUCAAGAACGUAUAGGCAGACUUAGCUAAGCUAAUUUGCACCUAUAAAAGAAGAAAAGAGAAGAAGGAAAAAACACACAGAAAUUCCAAGAGAAUACAAUUCUUUAUAGAAGGCAAAGACUAGACAAAGGAAAAUAAACGUUGGGAGUCAUUCAUUCUCUCUAUUUCCUUUCUUAUCUUUUUCUCAUUUACUAAAUAUUCCCUUCUUCCAAUUGUAAAACCUCCAUAACAAUGAGAGGCUAAUCUCUUUUGUUGGAAACUUGUCAGUCAACUACUCUUGAUGUAAUUUAUCUUCCUAUCUAUUUAAUAAUAUUACAUUUGCAUUAUCCUUUCUUGUGCUUAAUAUUAUUGCUUAAUAUUAUUGCUUGUAGCUUGAUCACCCAUUUGCAUAGGAAAUUUUAGGGGUAGUGUUAGGAAACAUUAUUUUCUAAUAGAACUGAGAAAAAGUAUCUAAAUAAAGUCAUCACAAGGGAUAGGUUAAUAUUUGUUUAGCCUGUUAUGCAUCUCUAUUCUUAAUGCAAUUUAUUAUUUUAGCUCUAUAAAGGGGUUUGAGAGAGAAAAUAGAUAAAUUAGACUAUUUCAUGCGGGGGACCAAAGUUAGAGUAUACUAGUAGAUGUAUGUUUAAAUUGGAAUAAUUAUAAAUAGAGAAAAAUUAUUAACAUUAUAUCAAAGAGUAGCUCUGAUAGACUAAGUUUUCAACAUUCUCAUCUUCUGAAUUUAAUUUCUAUAAUAAUUGACUUUUCUUUUUCUUUCUGUUUUUAAUUAAUUAAUUUAAAUUCCUGUUUAAUUUCUCUUCUUGUUUGAUUUAAUUUUCUACCAAUUUAAAUUACUGUGUUCUCAUAACCUUUUCAAAUCAAUUUUGUUUAACCUAUUUUAUUAAUAAAAUAUUCAUCUACCUAAGUACAAACAAAAUCCAUGUGGAUUUGACACUUGAACUUCUGUUUUAACUUUAUUACUUGUGACGAAUUGGUGUACUUGCCAAUCCAUCAACAAGUUUCAAACUAUAUAAAAAAUUUAAGAAGCACGAAAAGGGGAAAAUACAAAAUCGAUAUCUCAUUCCUUCGUAUGAUAAAUCCUCCUUACUUAAUUUCAUUAAUUCACGUUAAUAAAAAAAAUCAAAUUUCUAGGGUUCACACUCAAUACAAGAACAUAUCAAUUUCAAAACAAUUUUGUAUUGGAACAUUAAUUGGUCCAUCAAACACAGUCAAUUUGCAAUUGAAAGCAUGCAAACAAAAUUGAAACUCAUAAAAUAACCCAAAAUUAAUCCUUUAGGGAUCCCUAUACAUGUUUAUUUUAAUCUCCAAGCGUGAGUAAUCCAUCCCUUACCUCUACGCUAGCUUACGCGUGUAGUCCGGUAGUGAUAAUAGCAUCUCUAGUGGUUUCCUAAGAUUUUUCAAGUUUUUCCUUUGGUUGUUUUGUUAGGAUUUCCAAGUGUUAGAAAAAAUGAGAAGGGAUGAAAGCCUCAAGAGACAUUUCUCUCUCUAUAGACAUUAUUUUGCAAAUUCCAAUGGUGAGAACGCGUGAAAAUGAAUUCCAAAGGUGAUGUUCAAAUUUCAGAACGAUUCAACGAUUAACAAUUUUGGGAUAAUAGUUUUAUUGGAACAAGUGGGUUGUAUGCGAAAAAAAGGAGUUUUGAGAGAAAAAGAAAGAAGAACGAAUUUGGAAACAAGAGUGUAAAAACAUAUCAUAAAUGUAAACUCUGACCCUAUAAUUUACUCUAUUUUUUUUAUUUUAUAAAAAUAAUUUUAUUAUAAUCUUUCAUUAAAUAAAUAAUCAAUUUUACUCUAUUUAUUUUCUAAAAUAUCAUUUUACUCUAUUUAUUUUCUAAUACUACGAACCCUUAUUUUAAUUAACAAUUUUUUUUCUCACAUUUAUUUAAUUUCUAAAAACUCUAUUAAUUUUUAAAUAUAUUUUUUUAAACAAAAAAAAAACGGAAUGUUACAUUAGAAGCUAUCCUUUUGGGUUCACGAACUCUACUAUUGUUAGCGCAAAGAGGAGUAGCCUCAUGUUUCUUACUCUUCUAUAAAAUAAUUAAGAUCAUGACUAAGAAAUAUACAUCAACCAAAAAACAGAAUGACGAUCAUUCACAUUUAUCACAACUAGCGCGUGAAGGAAGUAAAAACCGUAACCAAAAGUACCUCAUAGACCAGAUGAUUCACCAGACAAUAGCCAAAAUACAAACCAUGGAGAGACUGCAUAAAUUGACUAUCUGAACAAAAAAAGCAACAUCAGGAUGAGUUAUAAGGGAGAGACAAGAAAAAAAGUGAUAUGAUAGAAAAUGAAAAGUAUAAAAAAAAUAGAAUAUAAAUGAUAUAGAAUCGAGAUACUUUGAUUCUCAGGUGGAGAGUCAUCCAUUUGAGAAUCAGGAUACUUUCAUCAUUGAAACACAUUUUCACCACCAUCAAUAAUGUUAGAUUCUAGUUUUUUUACUUUUUAGCUUAGUGUUUGAAAAUUAAGCUUUUAAUAGUUUAUAGUAUUUUUUGAGAGGCUGUUAUAAUUUUUUUUAAAAUCUAACUUCUAACUUUUAUAUUUAUUCUUAUUUUGUCCUUAAAAUAUUUAUUAGAUUUUCUUUUCACUCAUUUCUCAAUAAUGGUAGAUUUUAUUAUAUGUUUUUUGUUUUCUUUCUACUAAUAAGGUAGGUUUUGCUAUUUUUACCUUUUUGUACAUAAGAUAGAUUUUUCUUAUUUUUAUCCUUUUAUUACAUAAGAUAUUAAUAAUGGUAGAUAAUAAGUUUAUUUAUUUUUGGAUGUUUUAGUAUUAAAAUUUUUAUUUUACCCAUUAUAUUAUUUAUAACAUUUAAUUAUCCUAACAUUAUAUUUCAAGAUAUUGAUAUUGAUAGGUGAUAUGUUUUAUUUUAUUUUUAAAUAUCUUUUAUAUUAAAUUGUUUAUUUAAACCAGUGUCUUUUGUAGAGUUGGAACCCUCCAGCAGACUUGAAGCUGUUGCUCUUCGAUGAUGCCAUGGGGACCUCCUUUUUGAGGCCUCGGUAAUUUUUUUCUUUCGUGUUUUGUUUUUUUCACUUUACCCAAAAAAAUGAUAAAUUAAUUUUUUGACCCUAAUUUUUUUAUUUCUAUUUUUAGUUCCUAAUUAUUUUUUUUCUAUUCUUACUUUUAGUUCCUUUAACUUUUUUUUAUCUUUACUUUUAAGAAUAAAGAUGGAAAAAAAGUUAAAAGACUAAAAUUUAGAUCGAAAAGAGUUAAAGGACUAAAAAUAAAUAAAUAAAAUUUUGGGACUAAAAAUAAAUUUUUAAAAGGAUUUAAGGACUAAAAAGAUAGUAAAUAAAAAAUAUCAUACUAUUUAUUAUUUUUAGUAUUAUACUUCAAGAUAUUUAAUCAUUGCACUAAUUAACAUAAUAAAAACCUACCAUUUUUAAUACUUUACUAAUUUUAGUUGAUUUUAAUUUUGAUAGAAAAUAUUUUAAUAUGUAGUAUAAGAUGAAUAAUAGAAUACACAAUAUAAAAAAAUAAUUAAUAAAAAUGUAGUUGAAAUAAUUGAUCUAUAAAUUAAAAAUUAAAAAAAUUAAAAUUUAUUAAAACUAAUAUAUAUUCUCAAAAUAUAUUUUUACCAAUAAAAUAAAACUAAAAUGUGUAUAAAAAUAUUAUAUAAAUAUAUCUAUUUACGUCAUUUUAUAUUUAUCAUAUAUUACUAUAAAUAAUUUUAUCUAGUAAUUAUAAUUUAAUAAGUUAACUUAAUAAUUUUCAGCUAGUAGUUUAAUAAUUAAUUUUUAAACUUUUAACUAUUUUUUAAAACUAAUUUUAUCAAACAUAGUCUACAUGAACUUGAAAUCAAGAUAUUAAUAAGUAUAAGUCAAUAUUCUUAUUCGUUAUUCAUGCAUUUAUUUUAUUUUUUGGUCUUUAGUCAAAGACCACUCAUUGAGUUAAAGACUAAUUUCUUUUGUUGUGCGUGACUAUUAGUUCAAGAAAAUUUUCCAUAUAAUAAAAAUCAAAUAUAAAUUCUUUCACUAAAUAGAUGAUUUUCAUUUUGACAAACACAGCAAAGUCUUAGACAACUUGAUCAACCUUUUGGUUGAUUCAUUUGUUUUAUAAAUAUAUUUAACAAUAAAUUUUAGAAAGAUAAUAAUCUUCUACCACAUUUUGGGGGUGGAUUUAAGUGGAAGAUAAUUAAGGAAAAGAUAAAAAAAAUUAAAAAGUUAUAAGUGAUAUAAUAGAAAAUAAAGCAAACGAAAGUUCGUAGUAAUUCUCGUAGAUACGUCACACGUUUGCUACUUCAUGUUAGAUUACGUGUCAAAAAUGAAAUGGAAAAGUGAUCUAGAAGAUGACAAAGAUUUGUUGUAACAUUUUUGUAGUCGAGUACUAUCUGUCUAGAAGUUGAAUUGCGGGUCUAAAGUUUCAUUCAACGCAGACAAUCAAUUUUACUGACACAUGUCAUAUUUUUUCAAUCCAAAAGUAAAAAAUGUCAAGGCUUUGAUUGUUCUAGUUGCCAGUGUUUCCGAAAUGAAGACUAACAAACAAUACACGUGAAAUUCCAACUUUCAAGCAUUAUUUUCUUUAAAAUUAAAAAUGAAAUUUGUAUGACUGACGUCCCCGAUGAAAUAAAUUUAUUAGUUGAUUUUACCUAUUGUGUUUUCUCUUGUAAAAAAAAAAAAACUAUCGCUUUUUCUUUUCAUCAAAAUUAUCUCAAAAGAUUUUCUUGUGUUGUUCCUGCUUACAUACACAGAAUUUAAUUUUCAAACGGUGUCGUCUCUUGUCUUACAUCUUUCAAUUUAAUACAAAAAUUACGAAUAUUUUCCCUCUUGUGUAGGAUAGUUUAGGAUUGUUUGGUUUAAAAAUUAUUUUCUAUCUUGUUUUCUAAUUUUUAAAACAUCUUUAAUUUACAGCCACAGUGGUCAAACUCCGAAGUCUUGACUAUUCCAUGAUCCUGCAUCUUAUGGUUAGUUACUUUUUUUUUGGAAGAAAAAUAUCCCCACAACCGGAAGUAAUGAGAUUAAUCUUUGAGGUAUAUAAAUCAAGAAAGAAGAUUUUAUCUCUCUUAACAAAAUCUUCACCAUAUACAUGAUCAACAAAUUGAUGAAUCCAUCGUAAUUUUUACUUAGUUGACCGUGUAAUUGUUUUUUUAUACAAUGAGAACAAAAAUGAUCAAACUUAUGUUUUCAUGUAUCUAUUUGAAUCCUUCACCAUUAAUUCAAUCCUAUUAUGUUGUUUUAGUCUUUUUAGACUCGCAUAAAAGUUAAACUCUAUUUAUAAAAUUAAAAUAUAUGUAUGCAAGGUUAUCAGACUCGUGAUUCUACGUAGAAUCAUGAAAACUCCGUUAAUUUGACUCGUAGAAUCGAAUCGUAAAUUCGUAAGAAUUUACUCAAAUAAAAAAUAUAUUAAUAUUCAUUUAUAUAAAAUCAUAAGUAAAUAUUUUAACCCUAAAAUAAAUGAAAAUAAUAAACUUUAAUAAUAAUUCAAUAAAUUAACAUAGUCCACAAUCCACACUCAAUCUAACAUAAAUUCAUAUGAUACAAAAUAUAAGCAAACAAAACUCAAGUUAUUGAUGUUCAAUUAAAAUCUCUCCGUGAAAAUUAGAAUCAAAUUAUUGAUUUGAUGCAGAUUUGUUUCUCAACUAAGCAAACAAAACUCGAUACUCUCACUCACCCUUGAUGAGUUCUAUUGCAAGAAUGGAAAGCGCUUAGGAUCCAUGAACAUGGAUGAAUUCCUUUCUAGCAUUUGAAACUCUGAUGAUAACAACCAAGUUAACCUACCACAACCCACCCUUGAUGAAGCUGUAAAGGGUAAAAGUGUAGUAGCAACAUAACCCACCACCAUUUCCCAGCCAUUAUCUGUCCCUCCCCUAAUUUGCAAGAAAACUGUGGAUGAAAUUUGGUCUUAGAUCCACAAAAGCCAACCACACUAUAAUGAAGCUAACAAUAGCCUUGUCAAGAAUGAGCCAUUACUCAAAAGGCAGCAAACACUUGGGGAAAUGACUUUGGAGGAUUUCCUAGUAAAAGCUGGGGUGAUACAAGAAUCAUCAUCACUAUUCAAGUCUUCAUUAUUAUAUCAAAAUCAGGUUGGUAACAUUGCAAGUAAUGGAUCAUUGAGUGCAAGUUAUAGGUUCAUGCAUGUAAUAAGGACAGGAUCUAGUGUGUCUUGUAAUGGGCUUGAAACACAAACAUGUUGGCACAUAAUAACAACUUAAUUAUAAAGGAUGUCACUACAAAUGGCGCUGUGGAGAAAUGUCCAAGCUUAAGAGAAUCAAGUGGGAAGGGUAAUAGGAAGAAGAUCAUUGAUGGCCCUCCUGAAGUAAUAGUAGAGAGAAGGUAGCACAGAAUGUUGAAGAAUCGAGAAUCGGCGGCACGUUAUAUAGUGUUUAAAGGUUAGUUAGAAAGACAAUUAUGACAAAUAGGAUUAUGCUUCUCAAUAGAGAAAAGAGUGUACAUAAGAAACAAUUUUGCUAAAAUUAUGCAACAAUGGAAGAAUCAUUCAAGAAUCUGGAAAGGAAUAUUAAUUGUUUUUUUAAAAAAAAAUAAGAAGACUCUAACAUGCAUAAAAUUCACUUCAUUCACCAGGUUCUAGUGAUAUACAGGGUUGUUUGCAACAUCCUAUUUAAUUACUCCCUUAAUAAGCAUCGUUUCAAUUAAAAGAGAUGAAUUAACAAAGAAACUUUAAGAAAGAAAACACCUUAGCGUCGUGGAGCAAAGCUAGGGAACUAGGUCAUGAAAUAAGGGCUUUCGACGAGUGAGGGCUUUCAAGUUUCAAUCUUCUGCGAUGACGAGGACCAGCAAUCCAGCACGACAGCGAUGAUGAGGACCACCACGACGCGAGUAGCUCAACACCCAAACCAAACUUGAACAAGGCAGAGUGAGUGAGUAGACAGAGUCACAAGAGUCAUUUUUGGGGAAUUUUCGUAUAAUGCCAUUUCGGGUUUUCGUAAACUGGUGGACUCAAAGUAGACUCGCGAGUCUACCCAAACUCGUCCAAGUCUGCGCUAAAUCAGACGAGUCUACUCUGUUUUCGAUUCUGCUUCUGAUUUAACUCGCCGAACCUUAGUGGAAUCAUAAAAUCGUACGAUUUUACGAUCUAAAUUGCGAGUUUAACAACCAUCUAUGUAUGUGAUAAAAUUUUAAAGAGACAUAGAUUUUUUUUUUUUUUGAACUUAAGGUAUCUUGGGUGGAGAGUUAAGGCUAAUCCAUUGAGUUACAUUGAAGGAGUGGAUCUCAAUUGAUAUUUUUUUUUCUUUUCUAUAUAUGGACUUUGGUCAAAUCUUGGAUUACAUAGAGACAAAAUUUAGAAAUUGAUAUUAAAACAAUAGAAACCUUAAUAGGUAUACAUAUUAAUUUAUUUAUAAGAUAAAUUAGAGGAGGUGAUUCCAGCAACAAGGAAAUUUCCUCUUCUUUAUUCGACCAAUGGAGAGUGGAACUUUCCUAUUAGACUUAAUGACUUCCCUACGUGUUGUGUUCUUUUAUAUACUUUUCGUUCUUUUCUGGUUUCAUUUUUUAACUUCUUACUUUUUUAUUAAAGAAUAAUAAAAGAAUGUGUACUAACUAUCAUUUUUUUUUCAACGCGGGACUCUUCAAUCGCCGCCUGUUUCUUCACAUGAAAGGCAUAAAUAGAGAGACGAGUUUGCCAGGAAGAGGAACCCGAACACUCAUUCAUUUUUGUUAUUCUUUGAUUCUUUACCUACCUUGAAGAAGAAGAAAAAGAAGAAACAAGGUGGUGCGUAACAGCAAGAAAUAAAAAAGAAUGGAGGGAAGUGAUAUAUACAGAGCAAGUAACAGUUUACGAUCAAGAAGUUCCACAGUUUGGAGAAACAGUGGUGUGGAGGCAUUCUCAAGGUCUUCUCGCGAAGAGGAUGACGAAGAAGCUCUGAAAUGGGCUGCACUUGAGAAGCUCCCUACCUACAACCGUCUCAGGAAAGGCUUGCUCACAGCUUCCCAUGGCGUCGCCAACGAAAUCGACGUCUCUGAUCUCGGCAUCCAAGAGAGACAGAAACUUCUCGAGAGGUUGGUCAAAGUAGCUGAAGAGGACAAUGAGAGGUUCCUGUUGAAGCUCAAGGAACGUAUUGAUAGGUACUUACUUCUUCACAACCUCUUCCAUCAGUAUAUGUAUAUACUAAGUACUAAUAAGCUUUUUUUGCUUGCUGUUUUUUUAUAUAGAGUUGGACUUGAUAUUCCAACAAUUGAAGUUCGAUAUGAGCACCUUAAUAUUGAGGCAGAGGCCUUUGUGGGAAGUAGAGCUUUGCCCUCUUUCAUCAACUCUGUUACUAAUGUCGUAGAGGUAGGGAAGGGCUGGUUCUACACUUGUUCAAAUUUUUGGUUUCUUUUGUUUUGUUUUGCUAUUAGUCUUAUGGUCUUCCUCUAUUUCUGAUUUCAGGGAUUUUUCAAUCUUCUCCACGUUAGCACAAGCAAAAAGAAACACGUGACUAUUCUUAAAGAUGUUAGCGGGAUUAUUAAACCUCGCAGGAUGACACUGCUUUUGGGUCCUCCAAGUUCAGGAAAAACCACACUCCUUUUGGCCUUAUCAGGAAAGCUCGAUAAAACUCUUAAGGUAUCUGGGAGAGUGACUUACAACGGGCAUGAAUUGAAUGAGUUUGUGCCCC